UACGUAGGCAGCAAGCGUUGUUCGGAAUUACUGGGCGUAAAGAGUGUGUAGGCGGUGCUCUAAGUUCGGUGUGAAAUCUCCCGGCUUAACUGGGAGGGUGCGCCGGAAACUGGAGUGCUCGAGCGCGGGAGAGGAAAGCGGAAUUCCUGGUGUAGCGGUGAAAUGCGUAGAUAUCAGGAGGAACACCUGUGGUGUAGACGGCUUUCUGGACCGUAGCUGACGCUGAGACACGAAAGCGUGGGUAGCAAACAGGAUUAGAUACCCUGGUAGUCCACGCCCUAAACGAUGCAUACUUGGUGUGAGCCAUUCAGUUGGUUCGUGCCGGAGUUAACGCGUUAAGUAUGUCGCCUGGGGAGUACGGUCGCAAGGCUGAA
RNAcentral lists this ribosomal RNA (374 nucleotides) under uncultured bacterium. RNAcentral's name for it is "bacterial SSU rRNA". It matches the Rfam family "Bacterial small subunit ribosomal RNA", at positions 524 to 898 of the family's 1533-position model. The record is from RNAcentral.